CUCUGAGCACUCUGGUUGGGGUUCACUGGCUCUGACUGGGCUCUGACGGGUUUCUGGGGCUCUGACGGGGCUGCAGCUCCAGCCUGUUCUCCACACAGAAAAUCCAUCUCCUCCUUUUCCUGACGGGAACGUUCUGAAUUACUCCUGAGAUAGAAGGAAUGCAGAGUGCCUUAAAUAUAAACAAUACAGACUAAGUGGCACAGAAAUCAAUUAGCCCCGUGCAUAGAAGAGGCCGUGUCCAGGUUAUCUGCCAUUUAGUGUAAAUUCUCACGGGAUGGUGCUGGGAUCCUCCACACCUGCUGUUCUACUCACCCCGCUGCAUGUCCACAUCCCACUGUGCACGUGCCAUACAUUUACAGGAACGAGACUAAGUUAUUCUGACAACCUGGCUUUUUCCUUUCAUAAUAUGUCACUAAGAGUCAAAGACAAAAUUUUGUGCAACAGGAAAGGUCCAUGAAUAGUUUCCCUGGCUCCUCAAUCCUACCUGUCUUGCUCCCCCCAGGUGUUUCUGCACACCCAAAUCCUGCUGGCAGGUCACAGGGCCUUGUUCCAGUCCCACUCCUGCCCUCGCUGCCUUGGCUAUGGACAACCAGGGCCUGGGACCCUGGGGCAAGGCCAGGAAUGCCCAGCACGGAGCACCAAGCACAGGCACAAACCAAGGGCUGUGUGUCAGCUGUGCUGUGUUUUUGCCAGAGGGACGUAGGCGGGAGCAGGAAUGUGGACAGGAUUGAUCUGGGGCUUCCAGAACUCCUCCACCACACUGACCGGUGUGUCACAGGGCCGGAAUGACUGACAGGGCCAUUUCCUCACCCCAGGGAGUGUCACCAGGUGAGUCAGGAGGUACGAGGACCAGGUGUUCAAACAGUCACUUUGCAGUUUAUUCACUGCCCCGGUGCUGCCCAGAGCUGUGUUGAACGCUGAGACUCACGGACUGAGAGAGUCGUUUCACACCCAAGGGGCUGGGGAGAGAACAGGGAGACCCUGUGCGGGUGAGACGGACCUGCCUGGGCUGGGAAGCGCGGUGUGGACCCGGAGAGCGGAGGUUGGUGAUGCAGGGCUGCGUUUUCCCAGGAUGGGCAUCGAAGCUCCCAGCCGAGGCUUCCAGCAGUGCCUGCAGAGAGAUGGCCCAUGGGGCGGAUGGGCUGUCCAGGCACUGCAGGAGCUGCUCGCUGUCCUUCUCAGGGAAGUUGAAAUUAGCCAGAGGCCAGGUUUGGAUGCAGCCGAAGCCAAAGUCAUGUGUGGUACCUGCUUUCAGGGGAACAGUACAGAGUUCCAGCUUACAGUGGUCCCCAGAGGGUUCAUGGAACUUGGGGUUUUUAAUGGAGCUGCAGAGACAAUGGUGUGAGUUCCCAGGAUACCCUGAUGAGGAAGCCCACAUCCACCACUCUUUGGAAAGAAAAGCAGAAAUUUUAUACCAAGUACCAUACUUUUUCUGAUGUUAAAGAGACACCAAAAUAGUGUCUUGAAUAAACACUUGAAAUAGUUUCAGGCUGA
Pipra filicauda (Wire-tailed manakin) is the source of this 1494-nucleotide long non-coding RNA. RefSeq lists it as uncharacterized. The transcript is spliced from 2 exons. The record is from RefSeq and is a predicted model, not a curated record. NCBI's taxonomy places the organism in Eukaryota, Metazoa, Chordata, Aves, Passeriformes, Pipridae.